GGCUCAGAACGAACGCUGGCGGCGUGCCUAACACAUGCAAGUCGAACGAGAAGUACGUAGCAAUACGUAUUGUAAAGUGGCGCACGGGUGAGUAACACGUGGGUAAUCUGCCCUUGAGUUUGGGAUAACCCCGCGAAAGCGGGGCUAAUACCGAAUAAGACCACGGGGACCAACGUCCCUGAGGUAAAAGAUGGCCUCUAUUUAUAAGCUAUCACUUGAGGAUGAGCCCGCGGCCCAUUAGCUAGUUGGUAGGGUAAUGGCCUACCAAGGCUAUGAUGGGUAGCUGGUCUGAGAGGACGAUCAGCCACACUGGAACUGAGACACGGUCCAGACUCCUACGGGAGGCAGCAGUGGGGAAUAUUGCGCAAUGGGCGAAAGCCUGACGCAGCAACGCCGCGUGGGGGAUGAAGGUUCUCGGAUUGUAAACCCCUUUCGAUCGGAACGAAUUCCCUCCUGGUAAAUAAUCAGGAGGGCUGACGGUACCGGGAGAAGAAGCCACGGCUAACUCUGUGCCAGCAGCCGCGGUAAGACAGAGGUGGCUAGCGUUGUUCGGAUUUAUUGGGCGUAAAGCGCACGCAGGCGGUUUGGUAAGUCAGAGGUGAAAUUCCGCAGCUUAACUGCGGAACUGCCUUUGAUACUGCCUUUCUAGAGUGCAUGAGGGGGAAGCGGAAUUCCGAGUGUAGAGGUGAAAUUCGUAGAUAUUCGGAGGAACACCGGUGGCGAAGGCGGCUUCCUGGCAUGUAACUGACGCUCAUGUGCGAAAGCGUGGGUAGCAAACAGGAUUAGAUACCCUGGUAGUCCACGCCCUAAACGAUGGGCACUAGGUGUGGGAGGUAUCGACCCCUUCCGUGCCGCAGCUAACGCAUUAAGUGCCCCGCCUGGGGAGUACGGCCGC
RNAcentral lists this ribosomal RNA (895 nucleotides) under uncultured bacterium. RNAcentral describes it as "bacterial SSU rRNA". It matches the Rfam family "Bacterial small subunit ribosomal RNA", at positions 21 to 889 of the family's 1533-position model. The record is from RNAcentral.